Molecule: long non-coding RNA, 483 nt
Filed under: Fukomys damarensis (Damara mole-rat)
Lineage: Eukaryota; Metazoa; Chordata; Mammalia; Rodentia; Bathyergidae
Description: lncRNA (ENSFDAG00000028190.1)
Source: RNAcentral
CCCUGUUGUUAGCUAGCCACGGCUGCGGCCUAUCUUCCUGCUUCACUUUUACUUUUUAAGAUAGGUCAGAGAGUGGUGAGUUCAUUGCAGAUGGGUCCAGGUUGGAGCUCUCAAUGUGUUUAUUCUGCGACUGCAGCGGCAGAGCUCUUAGGCUCCUGCAGCCCUGAGGAGAGGGGUCCACCAGGAACCUGGGGCAUUCUGGGACCCGAGCAUGCAUUUUCGGACAAAGGAAAGAAAUGCAAAGAUGCAGGAGGGUGCUCGUGAGACCUAGAGUGGAUGGCAAGGUAAGCUUGUUAUGUCUGUGACAUGGAAAAUCCCAAGAAACUGUGCUUUCCAGUCUGAUGAGUACCUGGUACAAAUGUGAGAAGCAACAGCGUGGAAGUGACCCUGCGACAGGCUGCCUUUACGCCUGUCAUUUGCCUGUCUUGGCAACCAGUUGUGCCAAAAACAGUGGGCUGUUCUACACACACACACACACACACA